This is a long non-coding RNA of Vigna radiata var. radiata (mung bean), 986 nucleotides long. RefSeq lists it as uncharacterized. The record is from RefSeq and is a predicted model, not a curated record. The transcript has 4 exons. Lineage: Eukaryota; Viridiplantae; Streptophyta; Magnoliopsida; Fabales; Fabaceae.
AAAAAAAAUCAAAAAAAGAAGAAAAAGAAAAAACACGUAAAAAAAAAAGAAGAGAAAAAACCUAACGAAGGCAUGUGUUGUCGUGGGGGCAAAGCGAAGGCGUGUGCAAGGCAAAAACAGAAUUGGUUUUGGGAGAAGGAAAAAAGGAAAGAUUGGGGGUGAUCAUCGAAGAAAAAAAAGGCACCAGAGAGACUGAUCGAAGGGUAGAGAAGGCUUGCUUGAUAGAACAUCAUCAUCAGAGGAUCACCGGAGACCGAGACCAAUAGCAUACAACUUCCCAAAGGUCGGUAUUCUCCAACAUGAGUAAUUCUAGCAGCGCGGCCAUCCUCUCGACUGCGACAGUUUCUGGGAUAGAGCACUCGCAGACAUCAGGUAUUAAGUUUGAAACCGCGCUCGAACAGCUCAGUCACCACAUAAAAGAAGAACAGAUGAAGUAUGAAAGAGAGAUUUUGAGUUUGACUCACUUGAACAAGAUUCUUAUUGACCGAACUGAAGAUCAUUCUAGUAAGGAGGGAAGAAGAGAGGCAAGAAGCAGAAGAUUUAAAGAAAAAAAUACAAGAGAUAGAAAACACAAUUAAAAAAAUGCAGGAAAACUGGGAGCAGGAAAACUGGGAGAAUUUCAAAAAGUUUACCCAAGAAACAUUGAAAAAGAUGAGGUCAAAAAUAGCUGACAAGGUGGAAGACAAGGACGAAAUUAAGUGAUGUUGAUAUCAUAUAAAAGAGCUUGUCCACCUUUAUGUGCUGUCAGCUAGUUCUUAGACAAAAUCUUACUACGUUUUCCCUAGACGUGUAGCUGUUACUUGCUACUGCUGUUAUAUUUGCAGAUGUUCAUUAAUUCAGUUCAUUAAUAAGUUGUUUUGAAAACUAAAACAUAAAUUUUAUGACUGCAAUCCUAGGUGCAGUUGCUACGGUGUAUUAUUUAUUGUCGUAUUUCAUUAAGUUAGUUUGAGGAUUGUACUCUCUCUUUUGUGUUUAAAAAAAAUAAU